GGUUCAAACAAUACAGAAGUGUAUAAAGUAAGAAUUGAAAGUCUCUUCGCUGCUCUAAUCUCACUCCUCAGAGGUGAUCACUGAUUAUCAUCCCAGAGCCCUGAAGCCCACACACAGCUUCUUCAGGAAAUGCUGACAACAUGUGUGGAAGAUGAUCAAAGUAUGACGUUUCUUCUACCCCAGAGGUUGGCAUUUCUGCAGGCACAAAUGAGCUUGGUUUUCAAGCACCAGUCUUUGAGCACAAGGAAUUCCUUUAAUGAUCACGGGCUAGAUAGACUUUGGAAUCAGACUCUUUGAAUUCCAGCUCUGCCAUUUACCAACUUUGACACUUUGGAUAGGGUCUCAUUCUGUCAGCCAGGCUGGAGUGCAGUGGCACUAUUAUAGCUCACUGCAGCCUCAAAUGCCUGGGCUCAGGCAGUCUUCCCACCUCUGCCUCCUGAGUAGUUGGGACUACAGGUUUUAUGUUUCUAUUAAUGCAGUCUAAAGGGUUUUGGAAAUCUGGAUUGUAGUGGGGCAUUGUAUGU
This 524-nucleotide long non-coding RNA is filed under the name Pan troglodytes (chimpanzee). RNAcentral's name for it is "lincRNA". Lineage: Eukaryota; Metazoa; Chordata; Mammalia; Primates; Hominidae. The record is from RNAcentral.